UAGAAGCAAGACCGCGAGGUGGAGCAAAUCACAAAAUCUCGUCUCAGUUCAGAUUGCAGGCUGCAACCCGCCUGCAUGAAGGAGGAAUUGCUAGUAAUCGCGGAUCAGCAUGCCGCGGUGAAUACGUUCCCGGGCCUUGUACACACCGCCCGUCACACCAUGGGAGCCGGAAAUGCCCGAAGCCAGUGACCCAACCUUAGGGAGGGAGCUGUCGAAGGUGGAGCCGGUAACUGGGGUGAAGUCGUAACAAGGUAAC
Molecule: ribosomal RNA, 256 nt
Filed under: uncultured bacterium
Lineage: Bacteria
Description: partial 16S ribosomal RNA
Rfam family: Bacterial small subunit ribosomal RNA
Source: RNAcentral